UUUCCAGUGGAUGCAAUAGUGCCGACCAUGUGCACAUGGGGUCAGGAUCUCAGGCCCGCCAGCUGGACUACAGCAAGUACCCAUGGUCUCAGGGAAAAGGUCCCCUGCUGCAGGCUGUGGGGGACCUCGGCUCUCACAGUGGCUAUGCCUGAGAAAGCCCCUCCAGACUCGCCAACCUGGCCCGCGCGUCCUGUCCGGAGGGCAGGGUGGGGCUGGUGCUGGUUACAGAUGAUCCUCAAGGGCACAGCACGCAAGCCACCAGGCGCCCCUCCUGCAGCUGGGUCAGAGAGAGGCACUGGGAGCCUGGCUCCCUCCAGGUCAGUCUCCACCAGGGCCACCCCGGUGACCUGCAGGAGAGGAAGGCAGACGAGGAGUGGCCCUGCCCCUUAGGGCGCAUCGUGCAGGUGGCACAAGGGGGUCAUCUGCAUCCUGGUCAAGGGGGAGCCCACCUGCCUCCUCCAGGUCGGGAACACUCCCUGGAGGCCAUGGUGUGGAGCGUCCACCCGGGCUUCGUCCUCCAGCUCAGCUGCUGGGCCCUGGGAAGGGACAGGCCCAGCACCCGUUCAGCCGGGCUGAGCCGCAGGCAGAGCGCCUUGCCUGGGAGAGACAAACCCACCGCUGAGGACACACCCUCAAGGUUCACCCUUCCCCACUUCUGUGUUGCCCUUAGCUCUAAGGUGCUAAUUCCAUCUCUAGUUUCAACAGGCUGAUUGCUCUUAAGGGAAAAUGGGGUUGCACAAUCCGGCUGUGGUGGCCGGGGCUCUUGGUCUCCCCCCAGUAAGAGGAUGGACUUUCCAGCCCUGCUGAUGGUCAGCGGGGACCACGUGGAGGCUUUGGCAGAUGAAAUGGGGCACAUGACAUAGCCCUGCCCCAGUGGAAGCCUCAGAGCCAUGGCUGGGCUCCACCAGGCUUGCUCCAGCGGCCAUGAGGACCAUGCCCCACAGGCAGGGGCUGCACCUCCACCCUGGUUCCAGAAGGAAGAGGCACAGCCGACAUGCCGCUCGAGCAGGAAACCCUGGGGAAGGUGGGACAUGAGAUCCUGUGUCUGAUACUACAGUGUAACCGGCUAGAAACUGACUCAAAGGGGCAUUUUUACAGCAGAAAGAGGCGAAGCACACGUGCAUCUGCCAUCCUGUGAUUGUCAGGCCCCGUUUAGGAGUGGACAGCUCCAUGGUUGUGUUUGAGCCCCACACCGGCCCUGGGGGGUUAUACUGCCCUGGAGGACAGCUGACCUCAGUUCUCCAAGCUUCCAUUCCCCCUUGUAUGGGCACAGCACCCCAACCUUCUUUUGGCAGCUCCCACGCCCCCCAGUGCUGGUGGGCUCUAGGGCUCUGGUCCCUGAUGCUCAGAGGCACAGAGACAGCAUUCCUCAGGGGCCCUGAUCCUCUGGCCCGGUUCAGACUGUGGUGGGGCCUCGGGACCUUUCCAGAACCUUGGAAGUGGGUAGCACCCUUUGCUGGGACAGACAUGCCUGGAGCUCCGGGCAUUGGGCCACUGCUGGGAUAAGCCCACGACAGAAUGAAGCCGGGCAGGCAGAAAGAGCUGCGGGCUCCCUGGCCACUCCUGUUUCCGUAAAGGGCCUGGUGUCUCAUUUCCUACUUACCUUGGACUUUAAGGGCCUCCUGCAGCCUUUGUCACACACUCUUCUUAUUUUUUUGUCCAUUACAACCUUUUACGGCGGCACAAGCCAUUGUUCUCAGGGCCAACGCGUGAGUCCUGUGGUGAGUUUCCUAUUAGUGUGGCUCGAGAAGGUACCCCGUGCUGACGAAGCCUGGAGAGGCAGGGCCACACUGCAGAGCCUCAGGCCAAGGGUGGCGGUGCUGGGGUCUCAUGAGCCCAGGGUUCACUGCCCACCAGGCGGCAUUAGCCUGCGGCUUUGGCGCCCAGAAGUCCCGACAGGCAGCAAAGUCUCCUGCUCCUGGCUGCUGGCCAGGAGAGCCCAGCUGGGCCUCACCUGAUCGAGAGGAAACGCCUGUGUCCUCUAAUCAGCAUCUCACUGACAGAGUCACCCCUGGUACAGCAAGUGGGCUUUCAAGGACAUCAGGUGGCUGCAUUCAGGCUGGUAACAACACCGCCCUCAGCUCUCACAGUCUGAGGAAGCCCCCUGAAAAGUCACUGGAGUGGGGCUGCAGGAACCCCACAAAGGCCUUUCCUGCUCCUGAAUAAUUCCCAAGCACCUAGGACUUCCCGGGCCUGGCUUCUCCGCCAGUCCAACCUCCGGACCUGAAGACCAAGCAGUGCCCAAGUGUGAGGUCCCUGGAGAAGGAGGAGGAAGAGUGGAAGGAGGUGGAGGGUAAUGCAUCCAGAGGAAGACGCUGAGGGUCAGGCUGGCCCUGGGUCUGACCUGUCCUUGGGGUCAACUGCUUCAUUAAAAAACAUCCGCCUAAACUGUGGAGACAGAGGAAGGAUCAGUGCUUGCCAAGGGCUGGGGGAGGAGGAACAGGCAGAGCGCAGAGGGUUUCAGGGCAGUGCCGCUCUGCGUGACGCCAUCACGGAGGGUCCAGGUCAUCACACGUCUCUCCAAACCCCUAGAAUGCCCAACACUCACUCUGAAGCCUUCUGUCAAUGUGGGAUCAUCUGUCGUAAAGUCUGCACCGCUGUGGUGGGGGCGUGGAUAGUGGGGGAGGCUGUGCGUGUGUGGGGGCAGGGAGUGUAUGGGAAAUCUCUGUACCUUCCGCUCAAUUUGGCUGCGAACCUAAACUGCUCUAAAAAAAGUCUAUUUUUAAAAAGCAUAUGCCCGAAAAGUCCUUGAAAAUGCAUCUUUCCCUAAAUAUUCAAAUUUAUGUUCAUUAAUAAAAUAGCACAUAUUUAUUCUA
This 2816-nucleotide long non-coding RNA is filed under the name Homo sapiens (human). RNAcentral's name for it is "long non-coding RNA NONHSAT191032.1". The record is from RNAcentral. Lineage: Eukaryota; Metazoa; Chordata; Mammalia; Primates; Hominidae.